This 209-nucleotide ribosomal RNA is filed under the name uncultured bacterium. RNAcentral describes it as "partial 16S ribosomal RNA". It matches the Rfam family "Bacterial small subunit ribosomal RNA", at positions 568 to 774 of the family's 1533-position model. The record is from RNAcentral.
CUCGUAGGCGGUUCGGUAAGUCGGGUGUGAAAACUCUAGGCUCAACCCUAGAGAGGCCACUCGAUACUGCUGUGACUAGAGUGCGGUAGGGGAGCGGGGAAUUCAUGGUGUAGCGGUGAAAUGCGCAGAUAUCAUGAGGAACACCAGUGGCGAAGGCGCCGCUCUGGGCCGUAACUGACGCUGAGGAGCGAAAGCAUGGGUAGCAAACA